AAGAUUUCAACUUUCUCUAUUCAGCAGUUUCUGUUCUACUUCGUUUUCAGUUUUCUUUUCCAACGUUUUGAUUUGCUUCUUGAGAUGCCUUUGAUUCACAGGCCAUGGAUUAUGGGUUAUCUCUUUAUCAAUAAUGAUAAAAAGAGGCAUAGAUUUUCGCAAGAGUUGAGUCACUUCGCCUUCGUGUUAUCCACUGGCGCAG
Molecule: long non-coding RNA, 202 nt
Filed under: Lupinus angustifolius (narrow-leaved blue lupine)
Lineage: Eukaryota; Viridiplantae; Streptophyta; Magnoliopsida; Fabales; Fabaceae
Description: long non-coding RNA (LANG_LNC003242)
Source: RNAcentral